AACGAACGCUGGCGGCAUGCCUAACACAUGCAAGUCGAACGAAGCCUUCGGGCUUAGUGGCGCACGGGUGCGUAACGCGUGGGAAUCUGCCCUUGGGUUCGGAAUAACAGUUAGAAACGACUGCUAAUACCGGAUGAUGUCUUCGGACCAAAGAUUUAUCGCCCAAGGAUGAGCCCGCGUAGGGUUAGGUAGUUGGUGGGGUAAUGGCCCACCAAGCCGACGAUCCUUAGCUGGUCUGAGAGGAUGAUCAGCCACACGGGGACUGAGACACGGCCCAGACUCCUACGGGAGGCAGCAGUGGGGAAUAUUGGACAAUGGGCGAAAGCCUGAUCCAGCAAUGCCGCGUGAGUGAUGAAGGCCUUAGGGUUGUAAAGCUCUUUUACCAGGGAUGAUAAUGACAGUACCUGGAGAAUAAGCUCCGGCCAACUCCGUGCCAGCAGCCGCCGUAA
RNAcentral lists this ribosomal RNA (449 nucleotides) under uncultured bacterium. RNAcentral describes it as "partial 16S ribosomal RNA". It matches the Rfam family "Bacterial small subunit ribosomal RNA", at positions 29 to 523 of the family's 1533-position model. The record is from RNAcentral.